GUCGACGGGAGAAUUGCUAGCUUGCUAUAAUUCUCUAGUGGCGCACGGGUGAGUAACACGUGAGUAACCUGCCCCCAAGAGUGGGAUAGCCCCGGGAAACUGGGAUUAAUACCGCAUAAAAUCGCAAGAUUAAAGCAGCAAUGCGCUUGGGGAUGGGCUCGCGUCCUAUUAGUUAGUUGGUGAGGUAACGGCUCACCAAGGCGAUGACGGGUAGCCGGUCUGAGAGGAUGUCCGGCCACACUGGAACUGAGACACGGUCCAGACACCUACGGGUGGCAGCAGUCGAGAAUCAUUCACAAUGGGGGAAACCCUGAUGGUGCGACGCCGCGUGGGGGAAUGAAGGUCUUCGGAUUGUAAACCCCUGUCAUGUGGGAGCAAAUUAAAAAGAUAGUACCACAAGAGGAAGAGACGGCUAACUCUGUGCCAGCAGCCGCGGUAAUACAGAGGUCUCAAGCGUUGUUCGGAAUCACUGGGCGUAAAGCGUGCGUAGGCGGUUUCGUAAGUCGUGUGUGAAAGGCGGGGGCUCAACCCCCGGACUGCACAUGAUACUGCGAGACUAGAGUAAUGGAGGGGGAACCGGAAUUCUCGGUGUAGCAGUGAAAUGCGUAGAUAUCGAGAGGAACACUCGUGGCGAAGGCGGGUUCCUGGACAUUAACUGACGCUG
RNAcentral lists this ribosomal RNA (664 nucleotides) under uncultured bacterium. RNAcentral's name for it is "bacterial SSU rRNA". It matches the Rfam family "Bacterial small subunit ribosomal RNA", at positions 61 to 748 of the family's 1533-position model. The record is from RNAcentral.